Molecule: ribosomal RNA, 447 nt
Filed under: uncultured bacterium
Lineage: Bacteria
Description: partial 16S ribosomal RNA
Rfam family: Bacterial small subunit ribosomal RNA
Source: RNAcentral
AACGAACGCUGGCGGCAGGCUUAACACAUGCAAGUCGAGCGCCCCGCAAGGGGAGCGGCAGACGGGUGAGUAACGCGUGGGUAUCUACCGUGCCCUACGGAAUAACGCAUGGAAACGUGUGCUAAUACCGUAUACGCCCUACGGGGGAAAGAUUUAUCGGGGUAUGAUGAGCCCGCGUUGGAUUAGCUAGUUGGUGGGGUAAAGGCCUACCAAGGCGACGAUCCAUAGCUGGUCUGAGAGGAUGAUCAGCCACAUUGGGACUGAGACACGGCCCAAACUCCUACGGGAGGCAGCAGUGGGGAAUAUUGGACAAUGGGCGCAAGCCUGAUCCAGCCAUGCCGCGUGAGUGAUGAAGGUCUUAGGAUUGUAAAGCUCUUUCACCGGUGAAGAUAAUGACGGUAACCGGAGAAGAAGCCCCGGCUAACUUCGUGCCAGCCGCCGCGGUAA